This 200-nucleotide microRNA precursor is filed under the name Dichanthelium oligosanthes. RNAcentral's name for it is "MIR1435 microRNA precursor family". It matches the Rfam family "MIR1435 microRNA precursor family". Lineage: Eukaryota; Viridiplantae; Streptophyta; Magnoliopsida; Poales; Poaceae. The record is from Rfam by way of RNAcentral.
UAGCUUUGUCCUAAGUUAAAUUACUAUAACUUUGACAAAGUUUUACAAAAAUAUAUAAAUAUUUAAAGUACCAAAAUAAUUGCACUAUCAAAACAUAUCUCAUGGUGGAUUUAAUGAAACUAAUUGAAUGUUGUAAAUGUUGGUGCUUUUUUCUAUGAACUUGGUCAAAGUUAGAGAAGUUUGACUUAGGACAAAUAUAA